GAAUCCCAUCUUUGGCACGGACACACCAGGGCUUUUGUGAUGCGCUCUCGAAGAGUCGAGUUGUUUGGGAAUGCAGCUCAAAAUGGGUGGUGAACUCCAUCUAAAGCUAAAUAUUGGCGAGAGACCGAUAGCGAACAAGUACCGUGAGGGAAAGAUGAAAAGCACUUUGGAAAGAGAGUGAAACAGUACGUGAAAUUGUUGAAAGGGAAACGCUUGAAGUCAGUCGCGUCGACCGAGACUCAGCCUUGCCCUUGGCUUGGUGUACUUCUCGGCUGACGGGUCAGCAUCAAUUUUGCCCCUUGGAUAAUGGCGAGGGAAAUGUGACACCUUUACGGUGUGUUAUAGUCUCUUGUCGCAUGCAAGGGUUGGGAUUGAGGAACUCAGCGCGCACCUUGGUGUCGGGGCUUCUGCCCACGUCACGCGCUUAGGAUGCUGGCGUAAUGGCUUUAAACGACCCGUCUUGAAACACGGACCAAGGAGUCCAACACGCCCGCGAGUGUUCGGGUGGAAAACCCGUGCGCGUAAUUAAAGUGAAAGUUGGGACCUCUGUCGUGGAGGGCACCGACGCCCGGACCAGACCUUCUGUGACGGAUCUGCGGUAGAGCGUGUGUGUUGGGACCCGAAAGAUGGUGAACUAUGCCUGAAUAGGGUGAAGCCAGAGGAAACUCUGGUGGAGGCUCGUAGCGAUUCUGACGUGCAAAUCGAUCGUCAAAUUUGGGUAUAGGGGCGAAAGACUAAUCGAACCAUCUAGUAGCUGGUUCCUGCC
RNAcentral lists this ribosomal RNA (766 nucleotides) under uncultured Lactarius. Its description in RNAcentral is "partial 28S ribosomal RNA". It matches the Rfam family "Eukaryotic large subunit ribosomal RNA", at positions 216 to 962 of the family's 3401-position model. Lineage: Eukaryota; Fungi; Basidiomycota; Agaricomycetes; Russulales; Russulaceae. The record is from RNAcentral.